GGCUCCGUGGCGUAAUGGUGGCGCGUCGGAUUCCAAAGAAGUAAUAAUCCGAAGGUUGUGGGUUCAAUCCCCACCGGGGUCA
This 82-nucleotide transfer RNA is filed under the name Volvox carteri f. nagariensis. It matches the Rfam family "tRNA". From Rfam's summary of the family: Transfer RNA (tRNA) molecules are approximately 80 nucleotides in length. Their secondary structure includes four short double-helical elements and three loops (D, anti-codon, and T loops). Lineage: Eukaryota; Viridiplantae; Chlorophyta; Chlorophyceae; Chlamydomonadales; Volvocaceae. The record is from Rfam by way of RNAcentral.